Molecule: long non-coding RNA, 720 nt
Organism: Gorilla gorilla gorilla (western lowland gorilla)
Lineage: Eukaryota; Metazoa; Chordata; Mammalia; Primates; Hominidae
Exons: 3
Source: RefSeq, a predicted model, not a curated record
AUCCCACAGCCCUGCGCAGAGUGGGAGCCAGACUUUGGGGUCCAGGUCAAGGCCAGAGGGUGAAGGGGACAUGAUUCAGCACUGUGGGCCUGCGGACGUACGGGGGAAGCGGGGCCCUGCAGGGCCCCCCCAGGACGCAGGGCUGUGGGCUAUGAGUCCUGCCUCACCCUGCAGCCUGCACCGCCUCUGCUUCUCCAAGCAGGAGCCGCCGAGUGAUUGAUGGGCCCCAGCUUGAAUGGAAAGUCCAGAUUCCAGCAACACAGCUUAAGAGAUGAAGGUUGCUUGAGCAGGAAAUCCACCCAUGGCCCAAAGAGGAAAGAUCCGCUUUAAAUGCCUGGGCAUAUACUUCCAAGAACCAGAUGUGGCCUGUUCCUUACACCUCCCCGGGCUUAGAUGACAGCUUGAACUCUGCGGCUGAUGGAAUUGAGCAGAUGGGAAUGACCUGGAAUCUAACACUCUACAAUUCAGACACACCACUGUCCACUUGUCCCUCCCUUCCUGCCACUGGCCCUGCCAGCGUACCUUGUGUACUUCGCAAAGGUCACUGGCUCCUGUUUUAUGUAAUGACUGACAGGCGAUCCCGCCCAGCUCAGCAAUGUGAACAGACACCUUGCAUGGUGCCGGUGGUGGGUGCGGUUGUUUCUGGAUGUCAUGGAAGAGGCUGGGGCAUUCCAGGGCUUUCCCCAAUUGUGCCUAAAAUAAAUUGGCUCUUGGGAGGUU